CUGGCUCAGGACGAACGCUGGCGGCGUGCCUAACACAUGCAAGUCGAACGUGAUCUUCAGAGUAGUUUACUACACUGAAGUGAAAGUGGCGGACGGGUGAGUAACGCGUGGGUAACCUGGCCUAUGGAAGGGGAUAGCCUCGGGAAACCGGGAUUAAUACCGUAUGUAGUUGAGAUGUCGCAUGACAUAUCAAUGAAAGAUUUAUCGCCAUAGGAUGGACCCGCGUCCCAUUAGCUAGUUGGUGAGAUAACAGCUCACCAAGGCGACGAUGGGUAGCCGGCCUGAGAGGGCGGACGGCCACACUGGGACUGAGACACGGCCCAGACUCCUACGGGAGGCAGCAGUGGGGAAUAUUGCGCAAUGGGGGCAACCCUGACGCAGCAACGCCGCGUGAAUGAUGAAGGUCUUCGGAUCGUAAAGUUCUGUCAAAGGGGAAGAAAAAAAUGACGGUACCCUUAGAGGAAGCCCCGGCUAACUACGUGCCAGCAGCCGCGGUAAUACGUAGGGGGCAAGCGUUGUCCGGAAUUACUGGGCGUAAAGGGCGUGUAGGCGGUUUUUUAAGUCAGAUGUGAAAGUUCGGGGCUCAACCUCGGAAUUGCAUUUGAAACUGGAGAACUUGAGUACUGGAGAGGUAAGUGGAAUUCCUAGUGUAGCGGUGAAAUGCGUAGAUAUUAGGAGGAACACCAGUGGCGAAGGCGACUUACUGGACAGAUACUGACGCUGAGGCGCGAAAGCGUGGGGAGCGAACAGGAUUAGAUACCCUGGUAGUCCACGCCGUAAACGAUGAGUGCUAGGUGUUGGGGCAACUCAGUGCCGUAGUUAACACAAUAAGCACUCCGCCUGGGGAGUACGAUCGCAAGAUUGAAACUCAAAGGAAUUGACGGGGGCCCGCACAAGCAGCGGAGCAUGUGGUUUAAUUCGAAGCAACGCGAAGAACCUUACCAGGUCUUGACAUUUCCUGAUGAUCGCAGAGAUGCGAAGUUCCCUUCGGGGACAGGAGGACAGGUGGUGCAUGGUUGUCGUCAGCUCGUGUCGUGAGAUGUUGGGUUAAGUCCCGCAACGAGCGCAACCCUUGUAUUUAGUUGCCAGCAGGU
RNAcentral lists this ribosomal RNA (1094 nucleotides) under Alkalibacter saccharofermentans DSM 14828. RNAcentral's name for it is "bacterial SSU rRNA". It matches the Rfam family "Bacterial small subunit ribosomal RNA", at positions 19 to 1126 of the family's 1533-position model. Lineage: Bacteria; Bacillati; Bacillota; Clostridia; Eubacteriales; Eubacteriaceae. The record is from RNAcentral.